GACGAACGCUGGCGGCGCGCUUAACACAUGCAAGUCGAACGGAAAGGCCUGCUUUCCCUUGUGGAUUGCGGGUACUCGAGUGGCGAACGGGUGAGUAACACGUGAGUGAUCUGCCCCCAACUUGGGUAUAAGCCUGGGAAACUGGGUCUAAUUCCCGAUAGGACUGCAGGGUGGUGCCUGUGGUGGAAAACGAUUUUCUAGUGGUUGGGGAUGAGCUCGCGGCCUAUCAGCUUGUUGGUGGGGUAAUGGCCUACCAAGGCGGCGACGGGUAGCCGGCCUGGGAGGGUGGACGGCCACAUUGGGACUGAGAUACGGCCCAGACUCCUACGGGAGGCAGCAGUGGGGAAUAUUGCACAAUAGGCGGAAGCCUGAUGCAGCGACGCAGCGUGGGGGAUGACGGCCUUCGGGUUGUAAACUCCUUUCGACCGCGAGGAAGCCACCUGGUUGGAAGGGUGGUGACGGUAGUGGUAGAAGAAGCACCGGCUAACUACGUG
RNAcentral lists this ribosomal RNA (494 nucleotides) under uncultured bacterium. RNAcentral's name for it is "partial 16S ribosomal RNA". It matches the Rfam family "Bacterial small subunit ribosomal RNA", at positions 28 to 507 of the family's 1533-position model. The record is from RNAcentral.